ACGCUGUGCCCGAACAAAACAACUUGUAAAGGAUGCCGUGAAGGCCAUCAAAGGUGGUGUGGACCCUCAGCCUGUUAAUGGCGGCCUUGGGGGUGCAUACUACUUCAGGAACAUCAAGGGUCAGAACAUCGCUAUUGUUAAGCCGACAGAUGAGGAGCCGUUUGCACCAAACAAUCCAAAAGGUUUCAUUGGAAAAACUCUCGGCCAGCCGGGACUAAAAAGGUCAGUGCGGGUUGGCGAGACUGGGUUCAGAG
Molecule: unclassified non-coding RNA, 254 nt
Filed under: Hevea brasiliensis (rubber tree)
Lineage: Eukaryota; Viridiplantae; Streptophyta; Magnoliopsida; Malpighiales; Euphorbiaceae
Source: RNAcentral